Molecule: ribosomal RNA, 253 nt
Filed under: uncultured bacterium
Lineage: Bacteria
Description: partial 16S ribosomal RNA
Rfam family: Bacterial small subunit ribosomal RNA
Source: RNAcentral
UACGGAGGGUGCGAGCGUUGUUCGGAUUCACUGGGCGUAAAGGGUGCGUAGGCGGUCGGGCAAGUCUGAUGUGAAAUCUCACAGCUUAACUGUGAAACUGCAUUGGAUACUAUCCGGCUAGAGGAAUGGAGGGGAGACUGGAAUACUUGGUGUAGCAGUGAAAUGCGUAGAUAUCAAGUGGAACACCAGUGGCGAAGGCGAGUCUCUGGACAUUUCCUGACGCUGAGGCACGAAAGCCAGGGAGGCAAACGGG